AGUGAACGCUGGCGGUAGGCCUAACACAUGCAAGUCGAACGGCAGCACAGGAGAGCUUGCUCUCUAGGUGGCGAGUGGCGGACGGGUGAGGAAUACAUCGGAAUCUGCCCAGUCGUGGGGGAUAACGUAGGGAAACUUACGCUAAUACCGCAUACGACCUUCGGGUGAAAGAGGGGGAUCGCAAGACCUCUCGCGAUUGGAUGAGCCGAUGUCGGAUUAGCUAGUUAGCGGGGUAAUGGCCCACCAAGGCGACGAUCCGUAGCUGGUCUGAGAGGAUGAUCAGCCACACUGGAACUGAGACACGGUCCAGACUCCUACGGGAGGCAGCAGUGGGGGAUAUUGGACAAUGGGCGCAAGCCUGAUCCAGCCAUACCGCGUGGGUGAAGAAGGCCUUCGGGUUGUAAAGCCCUUUUGUUGGGAAAGAAAUCUUUCAGGCUAAUACCCUGGGAGGAUGACGGUACCCAAAGAAUAAGCACCGGCUAACUUCGUG
RNAcentral lists this ribosomal RNA (490 nucleotides) under uncultured bacterium. RNAcentral describes it as "partial 16S ribosomal RNA". It matches the Rfam family "Bacterial small subunit ribosomal RNA", at positions 29 to 507 of the family's 1533-position model. The record is from RNAcentral.